GGCAGGGUGGCUUAGUGGUUAGAACGUGCGCCUCACACCUCCGAUGUUGGGGGUUAAAGUCCCGCCUCCGCCC
Molecule: non-coding RNA, 73 nt
Organism: Ameiurus melas (black bullhead)
Lineage: Eukaryota; Metazoa; Chordata; Actinopteri; Siluriformes; Ictaluridae
Source: the annotation of a GenBank genome assembly